This 561-nucleotide ribosomal RNA is filed under the name Trichoderma harzianum. RNAcentral describes it as "eukaryotic LSU rRNA". The stretch from base 200 to 351 matches the Rfam family "5.8S ribosomal RNA". The record is from RNAcentral. Lineage: Eukaryota; Fungi; Ascomycota; Sordariomycetes; Hypocreales; Hypocreaceae.
UUACCGAGUUUACAACUCCCAAACCCAAUGUGAACGUUACCAAACUGUUGCCUCGGCGGGAUCUCUGCCCCGGUGCGUCGCAGCCCCGGACCAAGGCGCCCGCCGGAGGACCAACCAAAACUCUUAUUAUACCCCCUCGCGGGUUUUUUUAUAAUCUGAGCCUUCUCGGCGCCCCUCGUGGGCUUCGAAAAUGAAUCAAAACUUUCAACAACGGAUCUCUUGGUUCUGGCAUCGAUGAAACGCAGCGAAAUGCGAUAAGUAAUGUGAAUUGCAGAAUUCAGUGAAUCAUCGAAUCUUUGAACGCACAUUGCGCCCGCCAGUAUUCUGGCGGGCAUGCCUGUCCGAGCGUCAUUUCAACCCUCGAACCCCUCCGGGGGGUCGGCGUUGGGGAUCGGCCCUCCCUCUGCGGGGGCCGUCUCCGAAAUACAGUGGCGGUCUCGCCGCAGCCUCUCCUGCGCAGUAGUUUGCACACUCGCACCGGGAGCGCGGCGCGUCCACAGCCGUUAAACACCCAACUUUCUGAAAUGUUGACCUCGGAUCAGGUAGGAAUACCCGCUGAAC